UACUAAUCCUGUGUCAGAAUCUAUCAUUAUAAGGGCACAAGGAGGGAUGGACAGAUGGUGGGGAAGAUCACAAUGAAGAGGAGACUAUUGCCAGGAUACAGGGUAUCCACUAUGUCAACAGGCCAAGAUUGGCAAAAAUGAUUAAUUGUUUGACAAGCCUUGAUCCUACAAAAAGACUCAAUUAUUUGUCCAAGAAGCAAGGAUCAACUGCACCCAACCUUAGAAUAAAGGAAGCAUAGAGAGACAGUACCUAUCUUAAAAUAAAGCAGAGUGCCUCACUUGCCAGCAAGAGCCCACAGAGC
Saccostrea echinata is the source of this 302-nucleotide long non-coding RNA. RefSeq lists it as uncharacterized. Lineage: Eukaryota; Metazoa; Mollusca; Bivalvia; Ostreida; Ostreidae. The transcript is spliced from 3 exons. The record is from RefSeq and is a predicted model, not a curated record.